RNAcentral lists this small RNA (278 nucleotides) under Vigna angularis var. angularis. RNAcentral describes it as "Non-protein coding transcript". The record is from RNAcentral. Lineage: Eukaryota; Viridiplantae; Streptophyta; Magnoliopsida; Fabales; Fabaceae.
UCGACAGUGAACACUCGCCAGAAUUCAAGCAAGAAUGGUCACGAAUGAAGGAUAUGUAUGACAAUCUUAUCCUCAAAAUUCAAGAUGUCACAAGGAAACAAAUUCCACUACAACUUGAUGGAGAAUUCACAGUUUUCUCUAAUACAGAACGAAGAAACCAUCCAACCAUAAUUAAGGUAAAUAACACAUAGCAGUAAAACAUAUUCAUGCAUCUAACCAGAUGGGAUACAGAUGCUUUAAAAUUCUCAUGAUACAUGCUGUAAAAUAUAUAAUUAUAA